Molecule: long non-coding RNA, 3847 nt
Organism: Nycticebus coucang (slow loris)
Lineage: Eukaryota; Metazoa; Chordata; Mammalia; Primates; Lorisidae
Exons: 3
Source: RefSeq, a predicted model, not a curated record
AUGUGCUUUCUCAAAGGCAGCCACUUCAUGCUGCUAUGUCGAAAGGGCCAUUAUUAUUAUUAUUUUUUAAUAGUAAAAGUAAAAGGGAGAGAGGCUGAGAGAGGGAGAGAGAGAGGGAGGGAGGGAGGAGAAGCUAGGUGUGUUGAUGACGGACUAGCCUUUCUGAGAGGAGAAAGAAAAGGGAAGGGAGAGAAAAGGAGAGACCCUGAGCUGAACGGAGGAUUGUGCCUGAGAAGAACCUUCUCGGAGCCUAAACUACAGAGUUACAGUCUCUAGAUUUGGUGUAUCGCUUCCUGCCCCCGCCUCCCCUCCCCGCCCCCGGGCUCCGUCCUCUAUUCAAACACCUCGCCCAGCCUAGCGCGCAGCGAGCUCAAUUUCCCCCCCUGGCUCCGGACGGCGCGACAGGAGGCUGCCUUGCCCGGCUCCGCUUCGUAAGGUUGUGUUGGUGCUCCUUUCAGCUGGUCCCAUAGCCCCCCCUCCUCAGGAAUGUCUCCCCAGUGAAAGAACAAAGACUGCAGAGGCUGCUAUAUUGAUGGACCACAAGCCAGCUCUGAAGGUGAAACAAAGAACGUGAUCACGGAAGACACCUGUCCUGCUAGGCCACACGCCCAACAUGGUGCAGUUUCAGCCAGUAGGACUCUCAGAACGAGGGACAGUCUUUUCAAGGAACAGGAAACCUCCAUAAUGACAUCUAGACUUUUAAUGAACCUAAAACUCUCCCUGCCUCACAUGUAUGCCUCUGUAUUUAAAUUCAUUUGAUGUUUAUUUUUUUUUUUUCUAGCAUGGGUAUGCCUGCUAAUGCAUUGGUCUUAAAACCCCAAAUUGCACCAAUGUGUCAACACUGUAAGUAACAAAAAUUAAUGACAUAAGGAAAAUGAUUUUUAGCCACACACAGAGUUUGAUCUUAACAAUGACCUUGAGAAUAUAAGGCCUUUUCAGCAGAGGCAAUUCAAAGGAUCAGAAAUAAUGGUAGAAACCACUCAUCAUGCACACAGAAAUACCACGUUAUUCCACCUGACGCCAGCUCAUCAACCAUUAUUUUUACCAAGCAAGCUACAUUCUAGGAGAUAAAGUGGCUGCAUCCAAAGAGCUUAAAUCUAGUUAGACAAAGUUACAUAAACUACUGGGAAGAUAAGUGACAGGUAGGGUCCACAGAGGGCUAAACCACACCACACGAAAAUGAGCUCAGAGGAGGUUGCCAUAAGGUGGGCAAAAUCGGCUUCUUUAAGGAAGAAACUUCCUAAAAGAGGAAAAUAUGUAAUAAUCUUGAAGGAUCUCAAAGAUUUAGAUAAAAUGAAAAGGAAAACAUGGAAUCCUUUAGGUGGGUAUGAUACUGUGAGCAAAAGUCACAAGCCACGGAAGAGGAAAAGACUAUUCACCUUUUGGUGAGCCAUAGGCGGCACCUGUGGCUCAGUGGGUAGGGCGUGGGCCCCAUAUACCAAGGGUGGCCGGUUUGAACCCAGCCUGGGCCAACUAAAACAGCAGUGACAACUGCAACAAAAAUAGCCAGGCAUUGUGGCGGGUGCCUGUAGUCCCAGCUACUCAGGAGGCUGAGGCAAGAGAAUUGCUUAAGCCUAAGAAUUAGAGGUUGCUGUGAGCUGUGAUGCUACGGCACUCUACCGAGGGCAACAAAGUGAGACUCUCGUCUCUACAAAAAAAAAAAAAAAAUUCACCUCUGGUUGACUUCAUCCCAGAUGUUCCACAGCCCCCUCUAGGUAGCUGAUAAAGACUUUCACGCACAUACCACUCCUCUCCCACUCCAGCUAUUGCCUAGAAUUAUAAUCAUAUUUCCUUGUUAUUAAAGCAAGUAAAGGUGAUCAGUGAUUAUAGGGAAAACUGUGAUUUUUCUUUUAACCUAAUAAUAAUUGGUAUUUAUUGAAUUCUCCCUAUAUGUUAAGCAUGCUACAUUUAACUCACUUAAGCCUCACAACAAUCAUGCAAAACAGAUUUUAUUAUCCCAGUUUUACAGGCAAGAAAACUGAGUUUUAAGUAAUUUGUCCAAGUGCCAAGCCUGAAUGCAUUCACCUUCAGGAUUAUGGUUGCAGAGCUCAUGUUCUAGAACACUAAGUAACAGUGUUGUAAUCAAUGUCAUAAUUAUUGGUACUUUUUAAAUGUUCCUUGAUAUUUUUCCAUGAUGAGCAGAUAUUUUAUGUCAUAACCCCCUCAAACUUUUCAGUGCUGGAUACAUUACCCUAGAAUAAUAUAAUGUAUUUUCACCAUAAUUUUUUUUGUUGUUUUUUUAUAAAUGGGGAAUAGAGCUUAUCAGCAGGCACUUAGACAUGCUUUUACGCCAGACUGUUCUCACUGGUAUGCAUGAAAUUUCAAAUUAUUAAGAAUAAAAAAGGGGCGAGGCUUAAUCACUUGUUGCGAUAUCCUUUUUUACAGAGAAAAUAAAUUUCUACCUUUUACAUUUACAGUAACUUACAGAAGAUCACACUUUGGGGAGGCGACAAAGACCAGAAAACAGACCCAUUUGUUACCAUAUCCUUUUUUACAAAUGAGAUAAAUCUCCACCCCUUAAAUUUACAGUAACUUACAGAGGAUCACUCUUUGGGAGGGUGGUAGAGCGAGAACCAAAAACCAUGCCCACUUGUUGCAAUAUCUUUUUUUCACAAAUGAUAUAAAUCUAUACUCCUUAAAUUUACAGUAACUUACAGAGGAUCACACUUUUUUUUUAAUGAAAUCAUAGCUGUGUACAUCAAUGCAAUCAUGGGGUACAAUGUGCUGGUUCUAUAUACCAUUGGAAGUAUUUUCAUCAAACUGGUUAACAUAGCCUUCACCGCAUUUUCUUAGUUAUUGUGUUCAGACAUUUAUACUGUACACUUAAUUUUAUACUGUUAAGUGUACAGUAUAAAUGUCUGAAUACAAUAAGUAAUUUUAAUGUAAAUUUAACAUGUAAAUUUAAAAUGCACCGUGGUGUGGUCUCAUAAUUGGUGGGAUCACACUUUUGAGGGGUGGCAGGGCAAGGCCCUCCAGUUCACUCUCAGUGGUUACUAACCGAUUCCACCCUUGCUAAAUGAAGCAAGAACUUGAAUUUGAUCAGUGGAAGUAGUCUAUCCAGGUAAUCAGGGAUCACUGUUUCAGUUUUUCCCUCCUCUGGCUUCCCACUUCAGUAUCAAAAGUCCAGAAAUUGUCAGUCGCCCAUCUCCAAAGAACACAUAACGUGCUAAGUUUGAUGUGUACAAUCUCUUCGAUGAUAUUCUUAAGUUAUUUGGAAUUCUUAGUUCCCUUACACAAAUCAGAGCUAAUGAGCAUCUUAACCAACUGUAUGCACAGUCUAUAUUUGUGAUUGCUUCUGCAUAAAUGUUUAUUCAUGACUGUUUCAAUAGACUUAUGUGUUUUUAAAUUAUUAAGUCAUUUGCUAUUAUACUCCUCACUUAUCUAUGUAACCAGCUCAAAAAUACUUUGGCCAUCCAAUACCAGAACUGAGGAAAUCUCAUUCUUCUUUGCUACUCUUUUGCAUUCAGUUGGCAUUUAGUACUGAUUGUUGAAGUAGCCAACUGAAUAACGUAGAGGUUCAAGGUACAAUUCUGUCUCCAAAGAAUCAGGUAAACUGAGUCCCACUUAGAGACAAACAUCUAAACAUUUGAAAGUGUCUGAAUAUUUGACUGUUGUAAAUUUCCACUUAACCAUCUGGCAUUGUCAGAUCUCCUCAUGGCUCUGGUUGUCCUGUUUUCAAAAUGAUGAUUGUUGGUCUUAUCUCACACAGUUCUCAUUAAGUAAGUUCAUAAAUAAACAGGGUUUUUUAAAGAGCAGCCAAGCACAAACUGUGACUUUGUUGACAUUUUAUGAGACGUUGUCAUAUGUCCGUAACCCCCAAUAAAAGCAAUGUUGCAUCAACGGUGAA